This 492-nucleotide ribosomal RNA is filed under the name uncultured bacterium. RNAcentral's name for it is "partial 16S ribosomal RNA". It matches the Rfam family "Bacterial small subunit ribosomal RNA", at positions 29 to 507 of the family's 1533-position model. The record is from RNAcentral.
AGUGAACGCUGGCGGUAGGCCUAACACAUGCCAGUCGAACGUCAGCACAGUAAGAGCUUGCUCUUACGGGUGGCGAGUGGCGGACGGGUGAGGAAUACAUCGGAAUCUACUUUUUCGUGGGGGAUAACGUAGGGAAACUUACGCUAAUACCGCAUACGACCUACGGGUGAAAGCAGGGGAUCUUCGGACCUUGCGCGAUUGAAUGAGCCGAUGUCGGAUUAGCUAGUUGGCGGGGUAAAGGCCCACCAAGGCGACGAUCCGUAGCUGGUCUGAGAGGAUGAUCAGCCACACUGGAACUGAGACACGGUCCAGACUCCUACGGGAGGCAGCAGUGGGGAAUAUUGGACAAUGGGCGCAAGCCUGAUCCAGCCAUACCGCGUGGGUGAAGAAGGCCUUCGGGUUGUAAAGCCCUUUUGUUGGGAAAGAAAAGCAGCAGGUUAAUACCCCGCUGUUCUGACGGUACCCAAAGAAUAAGCACCGGCUAACUUCGUG